CCGACGCCCCGCCCCACCCGCUCCUCGGGGCGGGGCGGAGCCUGACGGCGCGGCUGUCGCGCGGAGCCGAGUCACCGGCGCGGCCGGCCCCAGGGUGGAGCUGGAAAGAGCGCGUCCUACCGAGUUUGGACCUUCUUAACCCAUUGUAUGCCAUAAGCGUCUAGAUGCAAGCAACGGACCUUCCCCACAUGCCACACACGUCUAUAAUAAAAAAUGUUUUCCAUAAGUGGCUGCCCUGACCAACUUUAAAAUCAUUUUUCGCGAGAAUUUUCAGCUGAAAAUAUUCAAGAACACCUGAAUUAAGAAAGGAGUUAUUUGAAGUGAUGACCUGAUUACCUUGAUGAAGAAAAUUAUAUAGCUGCUAUCUACCUUUUGAAAAUGGGCCUUUGGUUUGAGUGCAAGCUGGAAGAUUGUGAAGCUUUGCACGUGUACAGAGCUGCACCUUCUGCUAAACCAGGGGCAGAAAGUCACUUUUGAAAGUAUAUUUCCCUGAAAGCAUUCUCAAGAUUCAAAGUCCCAGAUGGAAGCACUUGAUUGACUGUGCCUACGUCACGUGCCUGCACCAUAGUGAUCAGAGACACACAUGAGUGGAACAUUCCCUCCCUGAUAUAUGUAUGUGUAUAUCAUGGAAAAGAUAAACUUCUCAAUGCCUGCUGAAGAAUUUGAACAGAUUUUUCCCUCAUCAGUGAGUUGAUUUUUAAGCUGCUAAGCUACCGUUCCCUGUUGGGCACUGUAGUGAUGAAAUACACAGAAAAAGGGCCACUGUUGUGUACCCAAUAGACAGCUUGGAAAUACAUGUACUCAUCUAGGAUAAAAUUGAAUUUUUCUUUUCACUGAAUUAUUAGUGAAAUACUGUCUUCAAGGUUGAGGCUCCCAGAGGUGGUUUGUGGAUGUAUAAAUUGAAUGAGUUUGUAAGUGUGCAUAUAUGUGUGUGUGUAGAGAAUUUUUCAUGCCAUGAAUUAAUUCUGAAAUGACUUCUCAGAGUUGUGUAGUCCUCUUCUUUCACACACAGAGAAUAAUUGGACUCUUUGUUCAAUUGAGAAAAUGAGGCAGGGAUGGGUGGAGGAGUAACUUCAGAAGGAAAUCAUAAAAGCAGUCCAGAGGAAAUUUAAUUUUAUCUGUGAAAACAACCAGAACUCAACUCCCCUCCAAACAAGUUAGGAAGAGUGACUCCUAUUGCAGUUACAGUGUGUUCCCUGCUGGAGCAGCUGUGCUGAGGCUGUGGGUUAGUUGGAAGAAGUUGUGUAUAGAAGACCUUAGAGGAAGAGCAUAUUUGAUUGGUCUUUGGUUGAACAUUUUUAUGAUCAGCCAAAGCCAAAAUGAUUUGCUAUGGACCAAGUAUGGUAUCUCCCAUUCUUUGCUAUCUUGUCUUCUUGUCUCCUUUGCCCCCUUUGAGUACAUUUAUUAACUUACAUUUCCCAAAGAAUUGUCAACUUGCAUGAUCCUAGUUUUGGCAUUUUUUCUCCCCAACCACUUGUCUAAACCCCUGCCCUUCUCUUUAGCUCAGUCAUUCCUUCCUUCUCCUAUUGUCUUUAUUAUCUCCUCUUUCUCCUGCCUUCUUUCCGUCACAUUUCUCUCUCUUUAAAGGCUGGACUAAACUUGGGCAAACUUGUUGUAUUUCAAUCUCUCACUUUUUAAAAAAAUAUAUACAGGAGAAAGCAAGAUGGCGGCAUAGGUAAACACUGGAAAUUGCUGCCUCGCACAACAACUUCAAAAACAC
Myotis myotis is the source of this 1720-nucleotide long non-coding RNA. RefSeq lists it as uncharacterized. Lineage: Eukaryota; Metazoa; Chordata; Mammalia; Chiroptera; Vespertilionidae. The transcript is spliced from 6 exons. The record is from RefSeq and is a predicted model, not a curated record.